UGCAGUCGAGCGGAUGAAGGGAGCUUGCUCCUGGAUUCAGCGGCGGACGGGUGAGUAAUGCCUAGGAAUCUGCCUGGUAGUGGGGGAUAACGUCCGGAAACGGGCGCUAAUACCGCAUACGUCCUGAGGGAGAAAGUGGGGGAUCUUCGGACCUCACGCUAUCAGAUGAGCCUAGGUCGGAUUAGCUAGUUGGUGGGGUAAAGGCCUACCAAGGCGACGAUCCGUAACUGGUCUGAGAGGAUGAUCAGUCACACUGGAACUGAGACACGGUCCAGACUCCUACGGGAGGCAGCAGUGGGGAAUAUUGGACAAUGGGCGAAAGCCUGAUCCAGCCAUGCCGCGUGUGUGAAGAAGGUCUUCGGAUUGUAAAGCACUUUAAGUUGGGAGGAAGGGCAGUAAGUUAAUACCUUGCUGUUUUGACGUUACCAACAGAAUAAGCACCGGCUAACUUCGUGCCAGCAGCCGCGGUAAUACGAAGGGUGCAAGCGUUAAUCGGAUUAACUGGGCGUAAAGCGCGCGUAGGUGGUUCAGCAAGUUGGAUGUGAAAUCCCCGGGCUCAACCUGGGAACUGCAUCCAAAACUACUGAGCUAGAGUACGGUAGAGGGUGGUGGAAUUUCCUGUGUAGCG
Molecule: ribosomal RNA, 628 nt
Filed under: Pseudomonas sp. Horo_38
Lineage: Bacteria; Pseudomonadati; Pseudomonadota; Gammaproteobacteria; Pseudomonadales; Pseudomonadaceae
Also listed under: 1 other name
Description: bacterial SSU rRNA
Rfam family: Bacterial small subunit ribosomal RNA
Source: RNAcentral